RNAcentral lists this unclassified non-coding RNA (352 nucleotides) under soil metagenome. RNAcentral describes it as "partial contains 5.8S ribosomal RNA, internal transcribed spacer 2, and large subunit ribosomal RNA". The stretch from base 1 to 120 matches the Rfam family "5.8S ribosomal RNA", at positions 35 to 154 of the family's 154-position model. The record is from RNAcentral.
GAUGAAGAACGCAGCGAAAUGCGAUAAGUAAUGUGAAUUGCAGAAUUCGGUGAAUCAUCGAAUCUUUGAACGCACAUUGCGCCCGCCAGUAUUCUGGCGGGCAUGCCUGUUCGAGCGUCAUUACAACCCUCAGGCCCCCGGGCCUGGCGUUGGGGAUCGGCGGAGCCCCCCGUGGGCACACGCCGUCCCCCAAAUACAGUGGCGGUCCCGCCGCAGCUUCCAUCGCGUAGUAGCUAACACCUCGCGACUGGAGAGCGGCGCGGCCACGCCGUAAAACACCCAACUCUUCUGAAGUUGACCUCGAAUCAGGUAGGAAUACCCGCUGAACUUAAGCAUAUCAAUAAGCGGAGGA